GUCUGAGAGGACGACCAGCCACAUUGGGACUGAGACACUGCCCAGACUCCUACGGGAGGCUGCAGUCGAGAAUAUUUAGCAAUGGACGAAAGUCUGACUAUGCGACGCCGCGUGCAGGAUGAAGGUCUUCGGAUUGUAAACUGCUUUUGUUAGGGGAGAAACCUGUGUGGUUAACAGCCAUACAGCUGACGGUACCUGACGAAUAAGCCACGGCAAACUCCGUGCCAGCAGCCGCGGUAAUACGGAGGUGGCAAGCGUUACUCGGAAUUAUUGGGUGUAAAGGGCAGGUAGGUGGUCUUGUAAGUGGGGGGUGAAAUCCUGCGGUUCAAUCGCAGAACUGCCUUCCAAACUGCAGGACUUGAGAGUGUUAGGGGAGAAUGGAAUUCCCGGUGU
This 393-nucleotide ribosomal RNA is filed under the name uncultured organism. Its description in RNAcentral is "bacterial SSU rRNA". It matches the Rfam family "Bacterial small subunit ribosomal RNA", at positions 290 to 676 of the family's 1533-position model. The record is from RNAcentral.